CUGCUCCAGAUCUUGGAGUAAACCCUACAGUGUGUACUGUUCUUCAGUAGUAGACUCUCUUUCAAGGUUAUGCCUCCUUGAGUACAAACACACACUAGAUGUACACCUCUGCCCCGAUCUAACACUGUCCUCGGGAGCCAAAAAACCUUACCGCGUUAUAGGUGAAACCGUGUUAUAUUGAACUUGCUUUGAUCCAGCGGAGCGUGCAGCCCCGCCCCCCGGAGCGCUGCUUUACCGUGUUACAUCGGGUCGCGUUAUAUCUGGGUAGAGGUGUAUCUUAUUGGGCUUGACUUAACAUUGCUGCUGACUGUUCUAAAGAAAUGGUACUCCACCAAAAUAAGUUAUAUAAUGGCUGCCGAAUCUUGAUUUAUACAGUACAAACAUUAGUUGUAUGAUGGUACCUCAUACAAAAAUCUGUAGUGGCUUUGUAAUCAAGCUAAGGGUUGGGGGACAAGAUGGACUUGUUACAGGGAUAUGUAGAUAUUUGUCAACAUUUCUCUUCCUUUUGGCCAAAAUAAUGUAUGCCAAGAUAAAGGGACACUUUCAGGC
This is a non-coding RNA of Chrysemys picta bellii (western painted turtle), 549 nucleotides long. The record is from RefSeq and is a predicted model, not a curated record. NCBI's taxonomy places the organism in Eukaryota, Metazoa, Chordata, Testudines, Emydidae.